GGGUGAUUAGCUCAGCUGGGAGAGCACCUCCCUUACAAGGAGGGGGUGGGCGGUUCGAUCCCGUCAUCACCCACCA
RNAcentral lists this transfer RNA (76 nucleotides) under Escherichia coli. RNAcentral's name for it is "tRNA-Val". It matches the Rfam family "tRNA". Rfam says of the family: Transfer RNA (tRNA) molecules are approximately 80 nucleotides in length. Lineage: Bacteria; Pseudomonadati; Pseudomonadota; Gammaproteobacteria; Enterobacterales; Enterobacteriaceae. The record is from RNAcentral.